GAGGGACUUGCAUUCUCAAUGGCUCUGGUGGGGCAGAACCCUAUGCUGAGAAUCUCUGAUGGAGGUUCCAGUUCAGGAAAAUAUUAAAACAGAGAACUGGAAGGGACUUCAUAAAAUGCUUACAGUUUUACAGGACUGUUCUGUAAAAGGUUGCACUAAGGAGAUAGAUGUUUUGAAGAAGAUUCUAUCCUCAGGUAACUAUUCCUGCUUGGCAGUUCUCCAGCUGCAAGGGUGGGGG
RNAcentral lists this long non-coding RNA (238 nucleotides) under Parus major (Great Tit). Its description in RNAcentral is "lncRNA (ENSPMJG00000008923.1)". Lineage: Eukaryota; Metazoa; Chordata; Aves; Passeriformes; Paridae. The record is from RNAcentral.